UGGGGAAUAUUGCACAAUGGGGGAAACCCUGAUGCAGCGACGCCGCGUGAACGAAGAAGGUAUUCGUAUCGUAAAGUUCUGUCCUAUGGGAAGAUAAUGACAGUACCAUAGAAGAAAGCUCCGGCUAAAUACGUGCCAGCAGCCGCGUUAAUACGUAUGGAGCGAGCGUUGUCCGGAAUUAUUGGGCGUAAAGGGUACGCAGGCGGUUUAAUAAGUCGAAUGUUAAAGAUCGGGGCUCAACCCCGCAAAGCAUUGGAAACUGAUAAACUUGAGUAGUGGAGAGGAAAGUGGAAUUCCUAGUGUAGUGGUGAAAUACGUAGAUAUUAGGAGGAAUACCAGUAGCGAAGGCGACUUUCUGGACACAAACUGACGCUGAGGUACGAAAGCGUGGGGAGCAAACAGG
This 403-nucleotide ribosomal RNA is filed under the name bacterium. Its description in RNAcentral is "partial 16S ribosomal RNA". It matches the Rfam family "Bacterial small subunit ribosomal RNA", at positions 355 to 776 of the family's 1533-position model. The record is from RNAcentral.